UAAAUAAAUUAGCAAAAAUUUGCUGUUACUUUACCUCAGUGGCUCUGGUACUACUGUUUUUUAAGUGUUUUUUACUCCAGUGCAUGAGGAUCAGUUACUGUUUCAUUGGCGUAUAAACAUCUUCAAUGGCUGGUUCAUCAAACAGCUCUUAGAUAGUGUUAUAUAUAACAAAACGUUCAAAAAUAUAGAAAAUACAUUAUAUCCAUUGGAAUGAAUGCCGGGUCUCACAGGAUUAAAGUGCUUUAAACAAACUUUAAUCUGGCCUUUAUGUUUAGUGCUUUGUGUUUUGCACUGUUGCCUCUGUUGUUCUGCUCAUGAAUUCAUUAAAUCUUUUAUAAAUAAUAGUCUCUGACAAAUACUGUUAGCUGAAGGCUGUUACUAAUUAGUCGAAAAGAUAAUUGAGGACUUUUUUUUGCAAGAUUAGUUAGGAAAAGCAGUGGACUUCCUUGGCCUACCAGUCCCUUUGAUAUUAAUGAACUGGAUACUGCAUUCUUUUUUGUUUUUAAUGAUAUUCCACACAGUUCCCCUUAACUGCCAUUUCUUAAAUGUUAAUUUAGACCAUGGAAAGAAAUCACAGGAAGUGCUCGUUUUAAUAUAGCAAUUAUAGCAUUUCCCUGCUGUUAAGGCUUAAGUUAGCUUUAUAUCACAAUUAUUAGUAAUAUUGUAAUGUUAUCUUGUGAGGAAUUAUCAUAGGCUCAACAAGGCAUGACAGUGGGUGCCAGACUGUUGGGACACAGUAUCAAAUGUGUGUACCAGAGAUAGAAGUGUCAUAGAAGGCAUUACCACCCGCAGAAGACAGAAAUGCAAGGGGAUGGUAAUGAUCGUGACCGGUGGCAUCUGGCCAGAAUUGUCCAUGUAUAGAAACAAGCUCGUUUUUUUUAUUUUUUAUUCAAGAAGCAUAUUUUAAUUCAAGAGUCUUUUUUUUUUAUUCUUUAGAGAAUAACAAACCUGUCACUAUAAAUAAUCACUCUUCACUAAUGCAUUUCAGUGUGUGUGCGUGUGUGUGUGUGUGUGUGAGUGUCUCACAGCAGAGACCCCAACAAUGAGUCAUCGUGCACUCCAACCAUGCUGCAUCUUUCUGCCACAUUAACUCCCCUGCCUCAACACACACACACACACACACACACACACGCACACACACACACACACACACACACACACGCACACACACAGCCACACACACACACAGCCACACACACACAGCCCAUAGAGAAGGAGCACUCUAGCAUUCAAUCCCUGCUAUCUGAGUAAAUGUCAAGAAACUUCACAGCAGCCGUUCAGGGUUGUAUAACUCGUCAGGACAUGUCAUGGCUCGUCAGGAUGGAUGUGUCAGGGACAGAGAAGCUGGCCUGAGUUAAUGGAAAGUUGGAUUGAGCUGAAUCCUGGAAGAAAACCUGUUGAAGGCAACAAAUACUUGAGACUGGGAAGGAGAUUCGCCUUCCAGCAAGACGAUGACCCUAAACAAACAACCAGAGCUACAGUGGAAUGGUUUGGAUCAGAAAAUAUUCAUGAGUUAGAAUUGCACAGUCUUAAAUGGAAUUGAGCUUCUGUGGCAAGACAUGAAAACUGCUGUUUUAAAAACAGACGCUCUUCAUCCAACUUAACUGAGCUUGAGCUGUUUUUUUUUUUAAAGAAGAAUGGGGCAAAAUCUUAAAAAAAUAGGCUUGAACAAAGUACUUUUGCUCCAAUGAGAUUAUACAAGAAACACAAAGAAAAAAAGACUAAGAAAAAGAAAAGAAAAAUAAUAAUAAUAAUUAUUAUAUGUAGUUACUCAAUAUACAUAAUCACAAGAAUAUACAUAAAUACAUAUUUAGAAUGAGUUUAAAUGAGUUGGUUGGCAGUUCUAAAUGAAUGUUCAUCACACCAACAUGUACAAAAUGUGGAACUUCAACAUUCCAACACUUCCCAGAAGUGUUUCAUAAAGUGGAAUUUAUUUACUUCAACAUAUUGCAACACAAAAGUCUUCAGCUGGUUGAAACUGUUCCAUUCCACCAUGUCACUCAUGUGUCUAACCCCUUCUGUUAUGUUACGAAUCAGAUUGACCUGUUUUAAAGUUUGAAGAUCUAGGAAAAAUAGUUAAAAGUAUGAAACUUUUUCAGUAUGACACUUCUUCUGCUUCUCUUAAUUAGUUUAAUCAACAUAUAAUAUGAAAAUGGUUCAUCUCACAUAUUUGCAACCACCCCCUGCAAAAGCUAAGACAAAAUGACAAUGUUUUGUUUCAUUGUUAUGUAAAAAUAUUGUUUUAUAUGUUGGUCUUUCAAAAAU
Astyanax mexicanus (Mexican tetra) is the source of this 2265-nucleotide long non-coding RNA. RefSeq lists it as uncharacterized. NCBI's taxonomy places the organism in Eukaryota, Metazoa, Chordata, Actinopteri, Characiformes, Acestrorhamphidae. The record is from RefSeq and is a predicted model, not a curated record. The transcript has 3 exons.